GCAAUUCGAUGCGCUCUCGGGUAGAGCAUCCCGCCUUAUGGCGGGAAGGUCGUGAGUUCGAUUCUCACUAACGGCU
This 76-nucleotide transfer RNA is filed under the name Bacteroidota bacterium. Its description in RNAcentral is "tRNA-His". Lineage: Bacteria; Pseudomonadati; Bacteroidota. The record is from RNAcentral.